GAGAAUUGAACAAGCUCACUGUGCAGAUGGUCAAUAAAAUCAUGUAGUUUUUUUCUGUACAUAACUAAUUACUAUUGAUAUUUAUCAACAGAACACAAAAAGCAUACAUCUAAGAACCAAACAAAAAAUACUCUGCAAGAUCUUGACACAGAAAACUACAAAACCUGGUGGGGAGAAAUGUAAGAACCUCUGAUAAAGGAGCAACUGAGCACGUUCAUGAAGAGGAUUCAUGUUAUAAAGUCGUUGCUUUGUUACCACUCCAGGGAGAGACUGGUGACAUCCUAUUUCUUGGCCGGUGGCCCCCUCCUGCCCCUGUGUCUCCACCUCGGACCCUCUGAGUGCCACCUGUGUCUUCAUCUUAUUAGUGCCAGAAAAAAUCACAGGAUGAUCAGCUCAGGAUGCCAGAUACAGAAUUCUUAGUGGAAACGGCUCCACUGAAGUGUAUUAGUGGUGGUGACUGAAUGAUUGUCCCAAACCCAGAAUACCAGCUACUGCACAGUUAUUUUUAACUCCACGCCUGCUUAGUGGUGAUGAGACAGACAAGUUAACAGAUGAUUGCAACAGACAAGGGCUGACUGGACACAUCAGAAGUGCUCUGAGGUGGUUGAAGAAGCAGUAAGUAACCAUUGUACUAGACUGUGUUGCCCAUGUAACUGUCUGGGUUUGGAUGUAUUCCCUUAUAAAGUAAUUCUCUGCUUAUUAUUCUCCUGAUUCAAAAGUGAGAUCAUAAAAGUAUGAAAGUCUUGGUCUGUCACACAUAACCACCAGUAGGAGCUGCACUAGGCAGAAUAAUAGUCUGUCAAGGAUGUCCAUGUCCCUGUGGGAUGAAGAUUGCUAACCAACUGUUUACAUUUUUUCCCUGGAACAUAAUUAUUUACUAUUUGACUGCGUCGGGUCUUAGUUGUGGCAUGCGGGAUCUUUAGGUGUGGCAUGUUGGAGCUACUUCCCUGACCAAAGAUCGAACCCAAGCCCCCUGCAUUAGGAGCUCGGAGUCUUAGUCAUUGGAUCACCAGGGAAGCCCCAGCUCUUCUUAAGAUAUGGAUCUUAUCUUAGACUCUCUAGUUCGUUCAAUAUAAUCACAAGGGAAAAGGGAAACGGAAGUUCAGAGUCAGAGAAGGUUUUGAAGGUGCUGUUCUGCUGGCUUUGGAGACAGAGGAAGCACACCCCCAGGAAAACGGAUGGCCUUCAGAAGCUGCUAAGGUGAGGAAGCAGCCUCUCCUGGAGAUUCCAGAAGGAACGCGGCCCUGACGGCAGCUCCAUGUUGGCUCAUUAGCCCGUUUUAGACUUCUCACCUCCACUGUAAAAUGUAUAAAUGUGUAAAAUGUAUAAAUGUAU
Non-coding RNA from Odocoileus virginianus texanus, 1335 nucleotides. Lineage: Eukaryota; Metazoa; Chordata; Mammalia; Artiodactyla; Cervidae. The record is from RefSeq and is a predicted model, not a curated record.